This 231-nucleotide ribosomal RNA is filed under the name uncultured bacterium. Its description in RNAcentral is "partial 16S ribosomal RNA". It matches the Rfam family "Bacterial small subunit ribosomal RNA", at positions 103 to 334 of the family's 1533-position model. The record is from RNAcentral.
CGGGUGAGUAACGCGUGGGUAACCUGCCUUGUACUGGGGGACGACAGUUGGAAACGACUGCUAAUACCGCAUAAGCGCACAGCUUCGCAUGAAGCAGUGUGAAAAACUCCGGUGGUACAAGAUGGACCCGCGUCUGAUUAGCUGGUUGGUGAGGUAACGGCCCACCAAGGCGACGAUCAGUAGCCGGCCUGAGAGGGUGAACGGCCACAUUGGGACUGAGACACGGCCCAA